Molecule: ribosomal RNA, 451 nt
Filed under: uncultured bacterium
Lineage: Bacteria
Description: bacterial SSU rRNA
Rfam family: Bacterial small subunit ribosomal RNA
Source: RNAcentral
GUCGGGAAUUUUGGGCAAUGGGCGCAAGCCUGACCCAGCAACGCCGCGUGAGGGAUGAAGGCCUUCGGGUCGUAAACCUCUGUCGGGAGGGAAGAGGGGUUCCCGGGUGAACAAUCCGGGAGCUUGACGGUACCUCCAAAGGAAGCGCCGGCUAACUCCGUGCCAGCAGCCGCGGUAAUACGGAGGGCGCAAGCGUUGUUCGGAAUCACUGGGCGUAAAGCGCGUGUAGGCGGUUCGGCAAGUCGGCUGUGAAAGCCCGAGGCUCAACCUCGGAACUGCAGCCGAAACUGCCGGGCUCGAGUCCCGGAGAGGGUGGCGGAAUUUCCGGUGUAGAGGUGAAAUUCGUAGAUAUCGGAAGGAACACCAGAGGCGAAGGCGGCCACCUGGACGGUGACUGACGCUGAGACGCGAAAGCGUGGGGAGCAAACAGGAUUAGAAACCCUUGUAGUCC